CUCGUGUCGUGAGAUGUUGGGUUAAGUCCCGCAACGAGCGCAACCCCUGCAUUCAGUUGCCAACGGUAAGGCCGGGCACUCUGGAUGGACUGCCGGCGACAAGCCGGAGGAAGGUGGGGGAUGACGUCAAGUCAUCAUGGCCCUUAUGUCCAGGGCGACACACGUGCUACAAUGGCCGGCACAGCGGGAAGCGAGGGGGCGACCUUGAGCGGAUCCCUCAAAGCCGGUCUCAGUUCGGAUUGCAGUCUGCAACUCGACUGCAUGAAGUUGGAAUCGCUAGUAAUCGUGGAUCAGCCAAGCCGCGGUGAAUACGUUCCCGGGCCUU
This 325-nucleotide ribosomal RNA is filed under the name uncultured Thermovirga sp. Its description in RNAcentral is "bacterial SSU rRNA". It matches the Rfam family "Bacterial small subunit ribosomal RNA", at positions 1059 to 1382 of the family's 1533-position model. Lineage: Bacteria; Thermotogati; Synergistota; Synergistia; Synergistales; Thermovirgaceae. The record is from RNAcentral.